UGCGUAGGUGGUUUCUUAAGUCAGAGGUGAAAGGCUACGGCUCAACCGUAGUAAGCCUUUGAAACUGGGAAACUUGAGUGCAGGAGAGGAGAGUGGAAUUCCUAGUGUAGCGGUGAAAUGCGUAGAUAUUAGGAGGAACACCAGUUGCGAAGGCGGCUCUCUGGACUGUAACUGACACUGAGGCACGAAAGCGUGGGUAGCAAACA
RNAcentral lists this ribosomal RNA (206 nucleotides) under uncultured bacterium. RNAcentral describes it as "partial 16S ribosomal RNA". It matches the Rfam family "Bacterial small subunit ribosomal RNA", at positions 568 to 774 of the family's 1533-position model. The record is from RNAcentral.